ACCCCGGGCGUGUGGACACUGCGCCUGCGUACACUUCGCUCCGCCCCGCCACGCCUCCUGCACCCACAAAAGUUUACUCUGCUUUUGGAUCCCAGUGCUGCGACCUCUUGUGUGACCCGGCAGGGUGGCCUUCCCCAGGCUAACCUAUGCGGCCCCUCCAUCCAGUGUGGGAUCCGGGUUCUUAUUCGCAGCGUGGAGACGGUAUCUGACUGUCACUUCAGUGUUUUAGGCGCUCAGGAGUUUCUGAGCCAGCGACCCCAUCCAGACUUCCUAGUGUUUUGGGUGGAGGUGGACUGGACAAGAGCUGGCCCACUUACAGAAAUGAGAUCAGAGUCGACUACGUGUGGUUCUAAGAAAAUGCUACUCGGAGAAACCGACCAGGAGGAUAGGAGCUCCAGGCAGCAUGCCUACAUUUAGGAUGGGAGAGAGGCAAUGACUUGUAUUCCUUGAAGAGAAGAACAAAGGCUUCCUUGCAGUCCUCCAGUAGUCUUACAUCACAGUGUCCAAAGCUGAGUCAAUGGACUGAAGUAGAGGGAAAGAAAGCUGCAUCCUUUCCAGCCUUUGCAGUGAGGAUGUCAACGGGGAAAACUGGAAAUGCUGUUGCCCGUGCUAGCCAACCUGCCCACACUGACUGGGGAUCAAAUGGAUGUUGCUGGAAAGCAGCGUUUACUGGAUGUUUACAAUGGAGAAAUGAUUACACCCUGCCAGGAAUUCAGUCUACUGCUUUGUUUUCCACUGAUGAGCAAAUUGGAUUAAUUUAAAACACGUGGAGAAGAAAGUCCUCCUUCGUUUGCC
This is a long non-coding RNA of Mus musculus (house mouse), 795 nucleotides long. RefSeq annotates it as predicted gene, 34790. NCBI's taxonomy places the organism in Eukaryota, Metazoa, Chordata, Mammalia, Rodentia, Muridae. The transcript has 4 exons. The record is from RefSeq and is a predicted model, not a curated record.